GAUGAACGCUGACAGAAUGCUUAACACAUGCAAGUCUACUUGAAUUUGGGUUUUUAACUUAGGUUUGGGUGGCGGACGGGUGAGUAACGCGUAAAGAACUUGCCUCACAGCUAGGGACAACAUUUAGAAAUGAAUGCUAAUACCUAAUAUUAUGAUAAUAGGGCAUCCUAUAAUUAUGAAAGCUAUAUGCGCUGUGAGAGAGCUUUGCGUCCUAUUAGCUAGUUGGUAAGGUAAAGGCUUACCAAGGCGAUGAUAGGUAGCCGGCCUGAGAGGGUGGACGGCCACAAGGGGACUGAGAUACGGCCCUUACUCCUACGGGAGGCAGCAGUGGGGAAUAUUGGACAAUGGAGGAAACUCUGAUCCAGCAAUUCUGUGUGUGUGAAGAAGGUCUUCGGAUUGUAAAACACUUUUAGUUGGGAAGAAACAAAUGACGGUACCAAC
RNAcentral lists this ribosomal RNA (441 nucleotides) under Fusobacteria bacterium oral taxon 220. Its description in RNAcentral is "bacterial SSU rRNA". It matches the Rfam family "Bacterial small subunit ribosomal RNA", at positions 28 to 482 of the family's 1533-position model. Lineage: Bacteria; Fusobacteriati; Fusobacteriota. The record is from RNAcentral.